AGGGAUUUGUGGUUGCUAAUAAUUCUUCUGAAACUGCUUCACGUGGUUACCAAUACUAUGUUGGAAGCUAUAACUAUAAUAAUCGCUUCAACGCAAGUUCUAUGUUUCCAACACCAUCUGACUCGGUUACUCCUGCUUUAUCCUAUGUUACUGGUUUUGAUGGUUUGAUAGGAGCUUCAAGAAUGGUAUGGUAUAGCAUUAGAGUCACUUUCUUAUUUAUAUGAAAAAACAAUGCUUUAUCUUUCUAUUGAGGGAUUUAGUUCAUCAAAAUAUGUCAUUAAUUAUUGAGUAGUACUACACUAGUGCAACUAGGGGUUUAGUUCCGAGCAAUUAGCAAAAUCAUUCUAUGUUUUUAUUAGGAGCCUCUUGCACUAAACACUUAAUAAUUUCUGUUUUUAUUUUGUUUCCUGUUUCUAAGAUUUAUCUAGAACAAACAAUAUUUUCCACCUUUUCGUAUACUAACAUUUGAAAACGGAAAACAAAAUAAAAAGAAGGUGACAUACUUGUAAUAAUUAUUAUGAACUUUCAUAGUGAAAAAAGGGACUCUAGUAUACCACAUUGACCUAUAUUUCGAUAUCCUAGAGUGUCUUCCCACAGGUUAACAAUAAGUACCAUGAAGUUGCACCAUUUUCGCCUCAAGGAAAUAGUGGCCUGUGCCUGUGAUGCCACCCUUGAAGAAGAAGAAGAAAAGGACUGAGGACAAUAGUAAAGGAACCCCCAUGAGCUCAUCAGGUUAACCUAUUCAUUAUUCUCUUGGGUUUCAUAUAUUUGAUUCCGUACUAUUAUUUAUUAUGUAUUUCUAUAUAUAGUUUGAAAAUCAAUAAGUGAACGAGUCUUCCAUCUACAGCAAAAUGAAGCACUAUAUCCAAGACAAGAAUUGCAGGCCAUUCUUUAUAGCUCAGUGUAAAGCAGAUAGAUGUUGGUACAAAUUUUCCAUCAUCAAAAGUUUCAUAAUUCUAUAAACAAAUGGACAAAAGGAAACGC
RNAcentral lists this long non-coding RNA (984 nucleotides) under Lupinus angustifolius (narrow-leaved blue lupine). RNAcentral's name for it is "long non-coding RNA (LANG_LNC001631)". Lineage: Eukaryota; Viridiplantae; Streptophyta; Magnoliopsida; Fabales; Fabaceae. The record is from RNAcentral.